Peromyscus maniculatus bairdii (prairie deer mouse) is the source of this 1691-nucleotide non-coding RNA. The record is from RefSeq and is a predicted model, not a curated record. Lineage: Eukaryota; Metazoa; Chordata; Mammalia; Rodentia; Cricetidae.
GCGCGCGCACACACACACACGCUCGCGCUCGCGUGCCCCCGUUAAACAGCCUCUGUUUCCACAAGUUAGCAAAGCAAAACCCAGGAGCAGAAGCCUCCACAGACUACGACACAGCCUGGAUCAUGAGCCAGUGGUUGGCAAAGCAGAGGAGAAAGGAAGCCAACCCUCAUCCACCAUGAGCUCACACACCGAGACAGCCCACAGGUGUGGUGAGAGGUCACUGCCACGGUCAAGUUUGUCUGUUUGUUUGGACUGUAGUUUGUACAGCUAAAACACGGACAACUCACAGAUCCUGGGAUGGACCAGGAAGGCCAUUCGGUGAGAUUUUUGUUCAGCUGGGCGUGGUGACCAUAAACACAGCAUUAUGGUUAGUGUCUUACAUACAUUAUCGGCUCGAUUACUCCUCAUGGCAUCCUUGAGGGAUCAGCUUUCUUAAGUCCCUCUUGAGAGUUGGGGCAGCUGAACGCUGGAGACUUGAGAAUCUCAACUACGUUUUGCAGCUAAUAAAUGGGAAGUUGGAAUUUGAAUCCAUGUUUCGUAUUCCCGAGUCUAAUGGUGAAGCAACAGUUUCUUCCAUGGUGAGUCCUUAUUCCAUUCUUGACCAAACCUGGCCCAACUUCAGGCCGGGUCCAGCCCCCCCAGAGCCGUGUAGUUUCUGCGCAUGCGCAGACAGAUGGCGCCUUGCCUGUUCACUGUGUCUCAGGAGCCGAGUUGCUGCACCACCCUCGAUGAUGGGGAGCUCUUCUCUGGAUCCCCUUCAGAACUGUCUGAUGAAUCCCUGCACAUCAGUUACCUCCUUCAGUGGGGGCAGCUGCGCUUCGGAAGGCAGAUAGGAUCUUUGGAACCACCUCACCGUAGUUUGAAAUCUGGUGCGAACACCAGUGACCAAACUUAGAGGACCCGAAAAAGGAACCAUUUUUGGUCAAAAGAAACAGGGAACACUGCAGCCAGAUGAGGUUGACUUUCUUCUGUGGCUGAAAAUCUGGAUCUAGAUGUAAUUCCAACUGGGAAAGUCCUGCUGGAAGAAAGUACAUGUUCAAAAAACAGGUGUAUUCCCUAUGCCCUUCAUGUAAAACUCAGUCCAUCCUCACCAUGCUUCAUGCAACCAGAUCAAGAAAGAGACGGUGUCUUCUUCUUCUUUAUAUUUAUAUAUUUAUUCCCUUUUGCACAAAGUGUGUGACUUGGUGCCUUGCACAUAAACAAUAGAAUAAUUCAGCUUUCUUCAGAAUGCUAGAAAAUUCCCUGCCUUGGAGGAACUUGCUAUCAAAGCCAAGCUCAUAUACGACAAUUGGAAGGCUGCAGUGAAGACCAGCGUGGUCCCAGGGCAAGGACGACAUCUGUGAAGUGUCUUAGGGUUUGGCUGGGACAGGUGCACUUGAACUCCCCGCAGCAGUGGUUGCCUGCACAAGAUCACAGCAGCCAACAUUCCAGCAUGGUGGGGGAGGCACUCGUGAGCUUCCAGCCCUAACUAAGGCACCGUGGACAAAGGAUGGCGUGUGGGGGAGGCAGUGCCAGUUUUCUUUAAGGGCGUGGCCUCUGGGAGGCUGACCAUGCUUCGUUGGAUGGCCCCACAUCUGUGAUAUGUGGGUAGCACACAUUGGACUCCGUGGAUGGUUUAAACAGUAAAGAGGUCAUAAAUUUGGGAGGGGUGACUAGAAGUUAGGUGCAGGAGUGAGGGGAAUAUGAUUAAG